Molecule: transfer RNA, 78 nt
Filed under: Ditibartonella apihabitans
Lineage: Bacteria; Pseudomonadati; Pseudomonadota; Alphaproteobacteria; Hyphomicrobiales; Bartonellaceae
Description: Bartonella apihabitans tRNA-Lys
Rfam family: tRNA
About the family: Transfer RNA (tRNA) molecules are approximately 80 nucleotides in length. Their secondary structure includes four short double-helical elements and three loops (D, anti-codon, and T loops).
Source: RNAcentral
GAGCGCGUAGCUCAGCCGGUAGAGCAACUGACUUUUAAUCAGUAGGUUCCAGGGUUCGAAAUCCCUGCGCGCUCACCA